Bos taurus (domestic cattle) is the source of this 355-nucleotide long non-coding RNA. The record is from Ensembl. NCBI's taxonomy places the organism in Eukaryota, Metazoa, Chordata, Mammalia, Artiodactyla, Bovidae.
UCAGGAUUUAUGGUCACCAUGAGGAGAGAAACCAAGGGCAGGAGGCAUAGGAUAAAGAACUUGGAGAGUUGAAAACACAGUUCAGGGACUCACAGGAAGCAUCAUGACCAACACUGCCAAUUCUCCUGGUAGGAUUCACUUCCAGGGAGCAGCAGGGACAAGAUUGGCAGCAAAGCUAUCGGGACCUGGAUGUGCUCAGAUGACAGGGCAGGGGAUGUGCUUCUUCAAGGAAGGACUGAAUUCAUAAGACUUUCUGAGAAGAAUAGUUCCAAGAAUACCCAGGAGAAUUCAAAGUGCGAAUAAUCCCAGACUGCGCUAUCUCCUUUGAAACUAAAAGAUUUAGAUCCUAAAUGGC